This 480-nucleotide ribosomal RNA is filed under the name uncultured bacterium. Its description in RNAcentral is "partial 16S ribosomal RNA". It matches the Rfam family "Bacterial small subunit ribosomal RNA", at positions 28 to 523 of the family's 1533-position model. The record is from RNAcentral.
GACGAACGCUGGCGGCGUGCCUAACACAUGCAAGUCGAGCGAAUGAAGUUCCUUCGGGAACGGAUUUAGCGGCGGACGGGUGAGUAACACGUGGGCAACCUGCCUCAUAGAGGGGAAUAGCCUUCCGAAAGGGAGAUUAAUACCGCAUAAGAUUGUAGUACCGCAUGGUACAGCAAUUAAAGGAGUAAUCCGCUAUGAGAUGGGCCCGCGGCGCAUUAGCUAGUUGGUGAGGUAACGGCUCACCAAGGCGACGAUGCGUAGACGACCUGAGAGGGUGAUCGGCCACAUUGGGACUGAGACACGGCCCAGACUCCUACGGGAGGCAGCAGUGGGGAAUAUUGCACAAUGGGGGAAACCCUGAUGCAGCAACGCCGCGUGAGUGAUGACGGCCUUCGGGUUGUAGAGCUCUGUCUUCAGGGACGAUAAUGACGGUACCUGAGGAGGAAGCCACGGCUAACUACGUGCCAGCAGCCGCCGUAA